GUUAUUCCAGCUUUAAAUGAGAGUGGUCUGUGAAUGUGUUGUUGUUGCUAAUUGUGGAAUAUCAACAACGAAUUAUGGGUGUUCUCUGAACUUCAACUUCACAAUUGCUUCACAAGAGAAAAAGUAGAAAGAAAUUGUGAUUAUUUGUCGCGAAAAUAUAAAGUAUAACUGGUAUAUUGGCACUUACUCUUCCAAACAACAGGAUAAAUUUGAACUGAAAUUUUGAAUUCAGUCGCGUACUGGCACGGUAGUAGAAUUUUUGAGCGAUGGAGUGAAUUACCAAGGUCAUAAUUCAUACAUACACUGAUUGGUUGUAAUAGAUAAAUACAUUCCAUACAUUAUAUACAUAUAUACAGUCAUGUUGUUGACAGGACACGUCGUAAACCCUAACAUCCCAGGGAGAGUGGGGCCCAAAUUCUUUCCACCUUCUCCAGCAUUUACACCAAAAUCCAGCCUUGGUUUUUCCUUCAGGUAAUCGAUGAGUAGUUCUUAGAAAAUGAGUUUGCAACUUUGCAUUAACUUUACUGUAUAUAUGAUUUAUUGAUUUUAAAGCUUAAUGGGGAUAUAUGAUAAAGCAAUACUCAUGCAGUGCUCUGACCAGUGGCUCAGAAAUGGUCAGAGCGCUGCCCGGAAUCGCUGCACAGAUUCGAUACCUGCAGCCGAAGGGCCUAUGGUUUAUUUUUCAUAGCUGCUCCCAGCCAGGUCUAAAAUAUGUACCGGGUAUACAAUUUUCGCUCUAAAUUUCCAUCAAGAAAACCCUUGAGCAAUAUAUAGUUCAUAAAUAUUGAGAUGCUGCAUGGGUUUGGUGGAUAAUACAAGUGCAUGCAGAGCAUAUAUAUACACAAUUUAAGACCUAACCAGGAACGGUUGCGAAAAAUGCAACACUAGGUCCUUUGGCAGGAAUCGAACCUGAGACUCCAGUGCAGCGCUCUAACCAACUGAGUUACAGAGGUCAGUUGUCGAGCUGUAACCGCAAGUUCAGGUAUAUAUACAGGGUGUAUCAAAAAAAGCGCAAUCCUCGACUGAAAUGUAAAUUGCUAAACAAAUAAUAGACGAAAACGUUAAA
Molecule: non-coding RNA, 1066 nt
Organism: Paramuricea clavata
Lineage: Eukaryota; Metazoa; Cnidaria; Anthozoa; Malacalcyonacea; Plexauridae
Source: the annotation of a GenBank genome assembly